RNAcentral lists this ribosomal RNA (237 nucleotides) under Phlegmacium stjernegaardii. Its description in RNAcentral is "partial 18S ribosomal RNA". The stretch from base 1 to 41 matches the Rfam family "Eukaryotic small subunit ribosomal RNA", at positions 1791 to 1831 of the family's 1831-position model. The record is from RNAcentral. Lineage: Eukaryota; Fungi; Basidiomycota; Agaricomycetes; Agaricales; Cortinariaceae.
GUAACAAGGUUUCCGUAGGUGAACCUGCGGAAGGAUCAUUAAUGAAUAAAUCUGAUGAGUUGUCGCUGGUUCUUUAGAGGGCAUGUGCACGCUUGUCAUCUUUAUAUCUCCACCUGUGCACUUUUUGUAGACCUGGAUAUCCCUCUGAGUGCCACUGGCGUCACUCAGGUUUGAGGAUUGGCUUUAUGUCUCUCCUUACAUUUCCAGGCCUAUGUUUAUUCAUAUAUGCUUUAGAAU